Molecule: ribosomal RNA, 253 nt
Filed under: uncultured bacterium
Lineage: Bacteria
Description: partial 16S ribosomal RNA
Rfam family: Bacterial small subunit ribosomal RNA
Source: RNAcentral
UACGGGGGGAGCAAGCGUUGUCCGGAUUUAUUGGGCGUAAAGAGCGUGUAGGCGGCCAGACAGGUCCGUUGUGAAAACUGGAGGCUUAACCUCCAGACGUCGAUGGAAACCGUCUGGCUAGAGUCCGGAAGAGGAGAGUGGAAUUCCUGGUGUAGCGGUGAAAUGCGCAGAUAUCAGGAAGAACACCCGUGGCUAAGGCGGCUCUCUAGUACGGUACUGACGCUGAGACGCGAAAGCGUGGGGAGCGAACAGG